GGACCGUGACGAUUGACAUAGGUCUCGUUCGUCGUAAUAUAUGCCGUAAAAGGCUUAUUUGCCGACCACUCUGUUAUACUGAGUCC
Small nucleolar RNA from Arabis alpina (gray rockcress), 86 nucleotides. It matches the Rfam family "Small nucleolar RNA Z43". Rfam says of the family: Z43 is a member of the C/D class of snoRNA which contain the C (UGAUGA) and D (CUGA) box motifs. Most of the members of the box C/D family function in directing site-specific 2'-O-methylation of substrate RNAs. The record is from Rfam. NCBI's taxonomy places the organism in Eukaryota, Viridiplantae, Streptophyta, Magnoliopsida, Brassicales, Brassicaceae.